UACGGAGGAUGCGAGCGUUAUCCGGAUUUAUUGGGUUUAAAGGGUGCGUAGGCGGAUGGAUAAGUCAGUGGUGAAAUUCUGCAGCUUAACUGUAACAGUGCCGUUGAUACUGUUUGGCUAGGAUUUGGUUGUAGUGUGCGGAAUGUGUGGUGUAGCGGUGAAAUGCUUAGAUAUCACACAGAACACCGAUUGCGAAGGCAGCACACUAAGUCAUUAUUGACGCUGAGGCACGAAAGUGUGGGGAUCAAACAGGA
RNAcentral lists this ribosomal RNA (254 nucleotides) under uncultured prokaryote. RNAcentral's name for it is "partial 16S ribosomal RNA". It matches the Rfam family "Bacterial small subunit ribosomal RNA", at positions 524 to 777 of the family's 1533-position model. The record is from RNAcentral.